Trichonephila inaurata madagascariensis is the source of this 83-nucleotide non-coding RNA. The record is from the annotation of a GenBank genome assembly. Lineage: Eukaryota; Metazoa; Arthropoda; Arachnida; Araneae; Nephilidae.
GAAAGGGGAGCCGAGUGGUUAAAGGAAAAGGACUGCUAAUCCAUUGGGCCCCUGCCCGCGUGGGUUCGAAUCCAUCCUUGUCG